UACGAAGGGGCUAGCGUUGCUCGGAAUGACUGGGCGUAAAGGGCGCGUAGGCGGCGCAGUUAGUCAGGCGUGAAAUUCCUGGGCUCAACCUGGGGACUGCGCUUGAUACGGCUGUGCUUGAGGAUGGAAGAGGCUCGCGGAAUUCCCAGUGUAGAGGUGAAAUUCGUAGAUAUUGGGAAGAACGACCGGUGGCGAAGGCGGCGAGCUGGUCCAUUACUGACGCUGAGGCGC
This 231-nucleotide ribosomal RNA is filed under the name uncultured bacterium. RNAcentral's name for it is "partial 16S ribosomal RNA". It matches the Rfam family "Bacterial small subunit ribosomal RNA", at positions 524 to 754 of the family's 1533-position model. The record is from RNAcentral.